Molecule: small nucleolar RNA, 136 nt
Organism: Cavia aperea (Brazilian guinea pig)
Lineage: Eukaryota; Metazoa; Chordata; Mammalia; Rodentia; Caviidae
Source: Ensembl
AUGGCCCCGAAUCCAGGCUGGCAACUUUCUGAAGCUGUUGGUUUCAAACAGAAGCUUAAAGUGGUAUCUUUCUAUGCUCCUAUGGCCACUUCAGAACUUUAGAGAUGCAAUGGUCAAUUCAUUAGAAAGAACACCU